RNAcentral lists this ribosomal RNA (425 nucleotides) under Mirabilicoxa sp. Its description in RNAcentral is "partial 16S ribosomal RNA". It matches the Rfam family "Bacterial large subunit ribosomal RNA", at positions 1943 to 2598 of the family's 2925-position model. Lineage: Eukaryota; Metazoa; Arthropoda; Malacostraca; Isopoda; Desmosomatidae. The record is from RNAcentral.
UGACCGUGCUAAGGUAGCAUAAUCAUUUGUUUCUUAAUUAGAGACUUGUAUGANUGAGAUGACANCUCUAUCUCUUUUCUAAUAUCAGGCAUAGAAAUUAAUAUCUGUUUCAAAAAGAACAGCUAUCUAGGGGGACGAUAAGACCCUGUGAAGCUUUAUUUAAGGGAUUGUUUUACUAUUUAGUUAAAUUUAGCAAGCUUUAAAUUAAGCUGGGGCGGUAUUAAUAAAACUUUUAAAAUUUUAACAAGUGUAUUUGAUUUAGAAGAUCUCGGGAAGAGAAUUAGAAUAAGCUACUCCAGGGAUAACAGCACAAUUUUUUUGGAUAGAUCUUAUAGAUGGAAAAGACUGUGACCUCGAUGUUGAAUUGAAGAACCUUGUUUGAGCAGCCCCCGACUAAGGAGGUCUGUUCGCCCUUUAAUCCUUCA